Molecule: ribosomal RNA, 952 nt
Filed under: Staphylococcus aureus
Lineage: Bacteria; Bacillati; Bacillota; Bacilli; Caryophanales; Staphylococcaceae
Description: partial 23S ribosomal RNA
Rfam family: Bacterial large subunit ribosomal RNA
Source: RNAcentral
CUGAAACAUCUUAGUACCCGGAGGAAGAGAAAGAAAAUUCGAUUCCCUUAGUAGCGGCGAGCGAAACGGGAAGAGCCCAAACCAACAAGCUUGCUUGUUGGGGUUGUAGGACACUCUAUACGGAGUUACAAAGGACGACAUUAGACGAAUCAUCUGGAAAGAUGAAUCAAAGAAGGUAAUAAUCCUGUAGUCGAAAAUGUUGUCUCUCUUGAGUGGAUCCUGAGUACGACGGAGCACGUGAAAUUCCGUCGGAAUCUGGGAGGACCAUCUCCUAAGGCUAAAUACUCUCUAGUGACCGAUAGUGAACCAGUACCGUGAGGGAAAGGUGAAAAGCACCCCGGAAGGGGAGUGAAAUAGAACCUGAAACCGUGUGCUUACAAGUAGUCAGAGCCCGUUAAUGGGUGAUGGCGUGCCUUUUGUAGAAUGAACCGGCGAGUUACGAUUUGAUGCAAGGUUAAGCAGUAAAUGUGGAGCCGUAGCGAAAGCGAGUCUGAAUAGGGCGUUUAGUAUUUGGUCGUAGACCCGAAACCAGGUGAUCUACCCUUGGUCAGGUUGAAGUUCAGGUAACACUGAAUGGAGGACCGAACCGACUUACGUUGAAAAGUGAGCGGAUGAACUGAGGGUAGCGGAGAAAUUCCAAUCGAACCUGGAGAUAGCUGGUUCUCUCCGAAAUAGCUUUAGGGCUAGCCUCAAGUGAUGAUUAUUGGAGGUAGAGCACUGUUUGGACGAGGGGCCCCUCUCGGGUUACCGAAUUCAGACAAACUCCGAAUGCCAAUUAAUUUAACUUGGGAGUCAGAACAUGGGUGAUAAGGUCCGUGUUCGAAAGGGAAACAGCCCAGACCACCAGCUAAGGUCCCAAAAUAUAUGUUAAGUGGAAAAGGAUGUGGCGUUGCCCAGACAACUAGGAUGUUGGCUUAGAAGCAGCCAUCAUUUAAAGAGUGCGUAAUAGCUC